CCUACGGGAGGCAGCAGUGAGGAAUAUUGGUCAAUGGUCGGGAGACUGAACCAGCCAAGCCGCGUGAGGGAUGAAGGUACAGAGGAUCGUAAACCUCUUUUGUCAGGGAACAAAGGCGGGGACGUGUCCCCGGAUGAGUGUACCUGAAGAAAAAGCAUCGGCUAACUCCGUGCCAGCAGCCGCGGUAAGACGGAGGAUGCGAGCGUUAUCCGGAUUUAUUGGGUUUAAAGGGUGCGCAGGCGGUUUGUUAAGUCAGCGGUAAAAGCCCGGGGCUCAACCCCGGCCCGCCGUUGAAACUGGGAGUCUCGAGUAGGAGUGAAGUAGGCGGAAUGCGCGGUGUAGCGGUGAAAUGCAUAGAUAUCGCGCAGAACUCCGAUUGCGAAGGCAGCAUGCCGGCUCCACACUGACGCUGAGGCACGAAAGCGUGGGUAUCGAACAGGAUUAGAUACCCGUGUAGUC
This 459-nucleotide ribosomal RNA is filed under the name uncultured bacterium. RNAcentral describes it as "partial 16S ribosomal RNA". It matches the Rfam family "Bacterial small subunit ribosomal RNA", at positions 338 to 795 of the family's 1533-position model. The record is from RNAcentral.